RNAcentral lists this ribosomal RNA (254 nucleotides) under uncultured bacterium. RNAcentral describes it as "partial 16S ribosomal RNA". It matches the Rfam family "Bacterial small subunit ribosomal RNA", at positions 524 to 776 of the family's 1533-position model. The record is from RNAcentral.
UACGUAGGUGGCAAGCGUUGUCCGGAAUUAUUGGGCGUAAAGCGCGCGCAGGCGGUCCUUUAAGUCUGAUGUGAAAGCCCACGGCUCAACCGUGGAGGGUCAUUGGAAACUGGGGGACUUGAGUACAGAAGAGAAGAGUGGAAUUCCACGUGUAGCGGUGAAAUGCGUAGGAGAUGUGGAGGAACACCAGUGGCGAAGGCGACUCUUGGUCUGUAACUGACGCUGGAGGCGCGAAAGCGUGGGGAGCAAACAGG